This 1072-nucleotide ribosomal RNA is filed under the name Halomonas sp. SDDL/HA/SE/2012. RNAcentral describes it as "bacterial SSU rRNA". It matches the Rfam family "Bacterial small subunit ribosomal RNA", at positions 1 to 1065 of the family's 1533-position model. Lineage: Bacteria; Pseudomonadati; Pseudomonadota; Gammaproteobacteria; Oceanospirillales; Halomonadaceae. The record is from RNAcentral.
CCACUUAGAGUUUGAUCAUGGCUCAGAUUGAACGCUGGCGGCAGGCCUAACACAUGCAAGUCGAGCGGAAACGAUCCCAGCUUGCUGGGAGGCGUCGAGCGGCGGACGGGUGAGUAAUGCAUAGGAAUCUGCCCGGUAGUGGGGGAUAACUUGAGGAAACUCAAGCUAAUACCGCAUACGCCCUACGGGGGAAAGCAGGGGCUCUUCGGACCUUGCGCUAUCGGAUGAGCUUAUGUCGGAUUAGCUAGUUGGUGAGGUAACGGCUUACCAAGGCGACGAUCCGUAGCUGGUCUGAGAGGAUGAUCAGCCACAUCGGGACUGAGACACGGCCCGAACUCCUACGGGAGGCAGCAGUGGGGAAUAUUGGACAAUGGGCGAAAGCCUGAUCCAGCCAUGCCGCGUGUGUGAAGAAGGCCCUCGGGUUGUAAAGCACUUUCAGUGAGGAAGAAGGCUUGUCGGUUAAUACCCGGCAGGAAGGACAUCACUCACAGAAGAAGCCCCGSMUAACUCCGUGCCAGCAGCCGCGGUAAUACGGAGGGGGCAAGCGUUAAUCGGAAUUACUGGGCGUAAAGCGUGCGUAGGCGGCUUGGUAAGCCGGUUGUGAAAGCCCCGGGCUCAACCUGGGAAUGGCAUCCGGAACUGUCAGGCUAGAGUGCAGGAGAGGAAGGUAGAAUUCCCGGUGUAGCGGUGAAAUGCGUAGAGAUCGGGAGGAAUACCAGUGGCGAAGGCGGCCUUCUGGACUGACACUGACGCUGAGGUACGAAAGCGUGGGUAGCAAACAGGAUUAGAUACCCUGGUAGUCCACGCCGUAAACGAUGUCGACUAGCCGUUGGGGUCCUUGAGACCUUUGUGGCGCAGUUAACGCACUAAGUCGACCGCCUGGGGAGUACGGCCGCAAGGUUAAAACUCAAAUGAAUUGACGGGGGCCCGCACAAGCGGUGGAGCAUGUGGUUUAAUUCGAUGCAACGCGAAGAACCUUACCUACCCUUGACAUCGUGCGAACUUGGUAGAGAUACCUUGGUGCCUUCGGGAGCGCACAGACAGGUGCUGCAUGGCUGUCGUCAGCUCGUGU